Molecule: long non-coding RNA, 742 nt
Filed under: Salvia miltiorrhiza (redroot sage)
Lineage: Eukaryota; Viridiplantae; Streptophyta; Magnoliopsida; Lamiales; Lamiaceae
Description: long non-coding RNA (SMIL_LNC005879)
Source: RNAcentral
UCAUUCAUUUCUAUUUACAAAAACUGAUCUGUACUUGUAAUAGAUAGAAAUAUAGUAAAAUGUGUGCGUGUGUAUUAUUCUGUUGGUGGUUCUCUGAUGGUGAUAAGCUAAUGUAAUUGAAACAAUAAUAGUCUAAAAGAAGUGGUAAUGGAUGUGUGUGUUCGAUCUGUUUUCAUUUGAAUCAUAGUUUUGUAAUUUAACAAAUGAAUGUAUGGAGAAAGUAAAGUAGGAGGUAACCUUGAUAUGAGUAGGAAAUGAGGAAAAUCUUCUUUCUGAAUUCACCAAAAUUUGAUCUGCGAAUUUAUUCAGCCAAGCUUAACAAUGAAAUUUUGGAUCUGAAAACUAUGAAAGAAUUGGAAGAAUUAAUGGACGUUUAUUACCUCUUUCUUGUUUUGGGAAAUCUUGGAAACUGAUUUGGAAAGCUGGAAUCAGUGAAUUAUAAUUCAAGCAUAAGAAUAGCUUGGAUCAGAAUGUUAGGAGGAAUGGGAGGAAUGUUGGUUGCUGAUUUUGAUUAAAUAAAAGCUAAUUGCAUGUUGAGAUGUUAAAGUGUAGAAGAUGGCUGGCAAAAGAAGGUGUAAAGAGUGUUUAGUGGAAUGAUGAGUGUGUGGAAUAAUGAGUGUUUAGUGGAAUGAUGAGUGCUUAGUGGGAUAGUUGGCAUAUGAUGAGUGUUUCCAACACCAUCAAUUUAUUUAAGAGUAAGAUGGAUGUGGAAAUGUGUAGGUGCUAGAUGAAUGUGAUGAAU